This 468-nucleotide ribosomal RNA is filed under the name uncultured bacterium. RNAcentral describes it as "partial 16S ribosomal RNA". It matches the Rfam family "Bacterial small subunit ribosomal RNA", at positions 28 to 507 of the family's 1533-position model. The record is from RNAcentral.
GACGAACGCUGGCGGCGUGCUUAACACAUGCAAGUCGAACGGAAAGGCCCUGCUUUUGUGGGGUGCUCGAGUGGCGAACGGGUGAGUAACACGUGAGUAACCUGCCCUUGACUUUGGGAUAACUUCAGGAAACUGGGGCUAAUACCGGAUAGGAGCUCCUGCUGCAUGGUGGGGGUUGGAAAGUUUCGGCGGUUGGGGAUGGACUCGCGGCUUAUCAGCUUGUUGGUGGGGUAGUGGCUUACCAAGGCUUUGACGGGUAGCCGGCCUGAGGGGGUGACCGGCCACAUGGGGACUGAGGUACGGCCCAGACUCCUACGGGAGGCAGCAGUGGGGAAUAUUGCACAAUGGGCGGAAGCCUGAUGCAGCAACGCCGCGUGCGGGAUGACGGCCUUCGGGUUGUAAACCGCUUUCGCCUGUGACGAAGCGUGAGUGACGGUAAUGGGUAAAGAAGCACCGGCUAACUACGUG